This is a long non-coding RNA of Rosa rugosa (rugosa rose), 701 nucleotides long. RefSeq lists it as uncharacterized. NCBI's taxonomy places the organism in Eukaryota, Viridiplantae, Streptophyta, Magnoliopsida, Rosales, Rosaceae. The transcript has 2 exons. The record is from RefSeq and is a predicted model, not a curated record.
ACGCAUUAUUACGGGAUUAGUGGUCAGAUUCCAUUCUCGAAUUGUGUGAAGAGGUGUGGGGCUAGAUUGUUGUACGAGCAAGAUUUGAAAAACCUCCCCGAUGGAACAACCAACAUCUUGAAGCGGAGUCGUGAAUAUUGUGACUCGGAGGAGGCCGAGCCAGGGGAAGGUCCAAGUGCAAUUGCAAUUGGUAGCUCUAACAAAGAAUCGGUUUUUAAAAGACUCAAGGCAUGAAUACUAAUCAAUCAAUGGAGAGGAACUACCCCUUUCUGCUUCUGGUUCUUGUACAGCUGGGCUGCUAGUGGUCUCUUUGGCGACAAUGGUCUUCCACUGUUCUUCCUUUGAGUACUUGAGGAGCACAUCCACAACAAGAUUUGUGGCACAUUGGCCGGGGCUAUCUCUGCCUCCGUUACGAUGCCAUGUUGAUGUACGUUGUUAAGAAGAGGCUGAUCAAGAUGUCGCUUUGAUUGGUUUGAAAUUUCUCUUCCAUAUUCCUUUUCAUUUGUUGUCCUCAUUCCUUCUACGCUCAUAUUCAUUCCUACAAGUAGUAAAUUAUUGUUGCAAUUUUUAGUGUCCUGUAAAUUAAUUUUCUAUGAGUAGUAGAAGAUUAGAAGUAGAAGUCCAAGACCGUGAUCCAAUUCAAUACUUUCUAUGUUCUCUUUCGCAAAAUGUUAACGCAUAAUGCCCGUGAGAUAUCAUUA